UACGUAGGCAGCGAGCGUUGUUCGGAGUUACUGGGCGUAAAGGGUGCGUAGGCGGUUGUUUAAGUUUGGUGUGAAAUCUCCCGGCUCAACUGGGAGGGUGCGCCGAAUACUGAAUGACUAGAGUGCGGGAGAGGAGAGUGGAAUUCCUGGUGUAGCGGUGAAAUGCGUAGAUAUCAGGAGGAACACCGGUGGUGUAGACGGCUCUCUGGACCGUAACUGACGCUGAGGCACGAAAGCGUGGGUAGCGAACAGG
Molecule: ribosomal RNA, 253 nt
Filed under: uncultured bacterium
Lineage: Bacteria
Description: partial 16S ribosomal RNA
Rfam family: Bacterial small subunit ribosomal RNA
Source: RNAcentral